RNAcentral lists this ribosomal RNA (495 nucleotides) under uncultured bacterium. Its description in RNAcentral is "partial 16S ribosomal RNA". It matches the Rfam family "Bacterial small subunit ribosomal RNA", at positions 28 to 507 of the family's 1533-position model. The record is from RNAcentral.
GACGAACGCUGGCGGCGUGCCUAAUACAUGCAAGUAGGACGCUGAAGGAGGAGCUUGCUUCUCUGGAUGAGUUGCGAACGGGUGAGUAACGCGUAGGUAACCUGCCUGGUAGCGGGGGAUAACUAUUGGAAACGAUAGCUAAUACCGCAUAAUAGUAGAUGUUGCAUGACAUUUGCUUAAAAGGUGCAAUUGCAUCACUACCAGAUGGACCUGCGUUGUAUUAGCUAGUUGGUGGGGUAACGGCUCACCAAGGCGACGAUACAUAGCCGACCUGAGAUGGUGAUCGGCCACACUGGGACUGAGACACGGCCCAGUGUCCUACGGGAGGCAGCAGUAGGGAAUCUUCGGCAAUGGACGGAAGUCUGACCGAGCAACGCCGCGUGAGUGAAGAAGGUUUUCGGAUCGUAAAGCUCUGUUGUAAGAGAAGAACGAGUGUGAGAGUGGAAAGUUCACACUGUGACGGUAUCUUAACAGAAAGGGACGGCUAACUACGUG